RNAcentral lists this ribosomal RNA (424 nucleotides) under uncultured eukaryote. RNAcentral's name for it is "bacterial SSU rRNA". It matches the Rfam family "Eukaryotic small subunit ribosomal RNA", at positions 592 to 1016 of the family's 1831-position model. The record is from RNAcentral.
CAAUAGCGUAUAUUAAUGUUGUUGCAGUUAAAAGCUCGUAUUUGGACUUCUGCCCGGAGCGUCCGGUCGUCCCCUCACGGGGUCUGUACUUGGACGUCUUUGGGCAUCCUUGGCGAGAGCGUGUUGGGCAUUAAGUUGUCCGGCGUGGGAUCGCCAUCAUUUACUGUGAAAAAUUAGAGUGUUUAAAGCAGGCGUUUGCUGUGAAUACAUUAGCAUGGAAUAAUGAUAUAGGACUUUGGUUCUAUUUUGUUGGUUGUUCGAGAACCGAAGUAAUGAUUGAUAGGGACAGUUGGGGGCAUCAGUAUUCUGAAGCGAGAGGUGAAAUUCUUGGACCUUCGGAAGACUAACAGCUGCGAAAGCGUUUGCCUAGGAUGUUCUCUUUAAUCAAGAACGAAAGUUGGGGGAUCGAAGACGAUCAGAUACC